RNAcentral lists this ribosomal RNA (254 nucleotides) under uncultured bacterium. Its description in RNAcentral is "partial 16S ribosomal RNA". It matches the Rfam family "Bacterial small subunit ribosomal RNA", at positions 524 to 776 of the family's 1533-position model. The record is from RNAcentral.
UACGGGGGGAGCAAGCGUUGUUCGGAUUUACUGGGCGUAAAGGGCGCGUAGGCGGCCACCGCAAGUCAAUUGUGAAAUCUCCGGGCUUAACUCGGAAAGGUCAACUGAUACUGCGGGGCUAGAGUGCGGAAGGGGCAACUGGAAUUCUCGGUGUAGCGGUGAAAUGCGUAGAUAUCGAGAGGAACACCUGCGGCGAAGGCGGGUUGCUGGGCUGACACUGACGCUGAGGCGCGAAAGCCAGGGGAGCGAACGGG